CAGGCCUCAGUGCUGGGGCCCCAGGUGCUAAAAUAUACCAGGUAGAACUCUUCCUGGCUCACCUGUCUGUGAACCCUCCCUCAUCUUUCCUCCAGGUAACUUCCAGGUCUGCAGACAAGAGAAGAUGAAGGAAGAGUGUCCAUCCAGCUCUCACGUGCCCAUCAGUGACAGCAAGUCUAUCCUUAAGUAAGCUUUGGUGUGUGGUAAAAGAGAUUUUGCAUCUCCUUUUGG
This 231-nucleotide long non-coding RNA is filed under the name Marmota monax (woodchuck). The record is from RNAcentral. Lineage: Eukaryota; Metazoa; Chordata; Mammalia; Rodentia; Sciuridae.